GGCAAAUUUUGUUAGACUGAUCAGCCUCUAAACAUUAAGAUGCAAUGUUUAUUUUCAGUGAUGUAUAUACAUGUUACACAUCUUACCAUGUAAGAUUUUAAAAUAGGUUUACGUAACACAUACACACACAGUAUAAACCUCCAUCUUUUGACUUUUUGCCAGCCUGGCUUGAGGAUGAGCAAGCAGGAAGGAUUAGGCAUAAGUUAAAGUCUGCCAACUCUAAUAGUACCUAAUUAGCACAACAAAAGAAAGUGCCUCAGUCGUUCAGCAGUGGGCAAUGCAUCUCAUUAAACACAACUGAACAACAAUUAUUUGGUCCCCUUGUGAAUAGUUUUGGCACAGCUACCAGAGAGAGAGAGAGAGCUGGAACUAGAGUGUCUGCUUUCUUGGCCCAGUGCUCAAGCUUCAGGGUAAAUAGCCUGUUUCUAUUACUGUGCACCUGCAUCUGACUGCUUCAUUUUGAUUUGGUCUCCUGCUGUGAAAAUGUAGCUUCUUCAAGCACAUACAAGCCUUGCCAUGCACUUCACAUGAAAAUUAUAUUCAGAGAUGUCAGCGGUGACCUAAAAACGACAACUAGUCCUCAAAAUAACUGCUUCCUUUUAAAUUCUAUACAGAGAAAAUGGUUGCCUGCGAAAAUACAAAAAACCCAAUUGGCAGAUGGAAGGAGGUCUUUUCCUGAUAAGAUACCAAAGGGAGUGCUGCUGGGAAAAGAGUCAUCACCAUUAAUCUGAAAAGCUAGAAGUAUGAUGCAGUGUGAAGAAAAUAUAUAUUAUCUCGGGACACAAAGGUGCUCAAAAAAGCUACACAUAUAUAGGAUAUACUCAGAUGCCUGAAUAACAGCUCUGAAAUGUGGCUAAUUAUUUUCUGUUAAAAUUGUUGUUACAUGGCAUUUCUGCAACUAACAGAUAUUUUGAAGACUGCAUAAGCUUCUAGAAAAAAUGAUUAUGGCAUGAUACAAACUAAUUUAUUUAGACACCCGAGGAAUCGGAGUUGUACUUGAUCUAUUUAUUGCAUUGAUUUUUAAAAUUUCUCUGCUGGUGUUCACAGAGCAAAACAUGUACAUGUCUGCAGGAGUGUGUAGAUUAACAUCUUUGGGGUAUUUUAUAUGGAAGAGGAGAAUAUUGUCCUGGGGCAAUGGUACUCUGUCCUAUGCUAAUAUGGACAGAUUCAAAAUAGAUAGCCUCUUGAUUGAGAGAACUAAAAUAAAUAAAUAAAACAAGAUUGUAGAUUUUAGUUUUCUUUGUAGUCACUACAGGAGUAAUUGCUCAAAUCUUAUUAUUAUUAUAAUAAGUUCUUAGCCUCUCUGUUUUAUAAUACACUUCAUUUAUAAAUGAUGUAAUAGGUUAAAAAACUGCAGAAAUAAGAUCAGGUUAUCUAAGGAUGUCUGUAGGAGAGCUUCUGUUUAUUCAACGUCUGACACCUUAGUAUCAGAAAUAAAUGUACGAGGCUGGUAACAACACAGUAAACAAAAUGUUUUAAAGUAAAACCAAAAAAUACCCAUUUCACUGUGAAAUGUGGCACCUGCUUCUUAAACAAAAGGCUGGGAGAAUGAGAUGGAUGGCCACAGCUGAAAGAGUCUUCCUAUUCUGUCAUCUGAUCUGCCUCUUCCUUUGUCCCUUACUUGAUGGAUAGUGAUGUAAUUAAGGACUGAUUCCACUCCUGCCAUGUUUUAAAUAUUUUUCAGCGGGACAGCCAGUAGUUCUGACCCAGGCAGGGCCAAGGGCUCUAGUGGGGUUAAACAGCUGUAAGCGAGGAGGGGCAGUGGGCUCCGUCCAGGGA
Pelodiscus sinensis (Chinese soft-shelled turtle) is the source of this 1779-nucleotide non-coding RNA. The record is from RefSeq and is a predicted model, not a curated record. NCBI's taxonomy places the organism in Eukaryota, Metazoa, Chordata, Testudines, Trionychidae.